RNAcentral lists this ribosomal RNA (251 nucleotides) under uncultured bacterium. RNAcentral's name for it is "partial 16S ribosomal RNA". It matches the Rfam family "Bacterial small subunit ribosomal RNA", at positions 525 to 775 of the family's 1533-position model. The record is from RNAcentral.
ACGGAGGAUGCGAGCGUUAUCCGGAUUUAUUGGGUUUAAAGGGAGCGCAGACGGGUCGUUAAGUCAGCUGUGAAAGUUUGGGGCUCAACCUUAAAAUUGCAGUUGAUACUGGCGUCCUUGAGUGCGGUUGAGGUGUGCGGAAUUCGUGGUGUAGCGGUGAAAUGCUUAGAUAUCACGAAGAACUCCGAUUGCGAAGGCAGCACACUAAUCCGUAACUGACGUUCAUGCUCGAAGGUGUGGGUAUCAAACAG